Molecule: ribosomal RNA, 1466 nt
Filed under: uncultured Microgenomates group bacterium
Lineage: Bacteria
Description: bacterial SSU rRNA
Rfam family: Bacterial small subunit ribosomal RNA
Source: RNAcentral
UUGAUCCUGGCUCAGGAUGAAUGUUGGCGGCGUGCCUGAGAUAUGCAAGUCGAACGUAGCCCCGGACGCAAGUCUAGGGCAGUGGCGGACGGCUGAGUAACACAUAGGAAUCUACCCCAAAAUAAGGAAUAGCUCGUCGAAAGACGGGGUAAUACCUCAUGAUCCCGCUCAUAGCGCAAGCUUCUGAGCGGGUAAAGUACGUAACUGUACGUUUUGGGAUGUGCCUGUGGCUUAUCAGGUUGUUGGUAGGGUAACGGCCUACCAAGCCUAUGACGAGUAGCUGGUCUUAGAGGAUGGACAGCCAGAGGGGGACUGAGACACGGCCCCCACUCCUACGGGAGGCAGCAAUCAGGAAUAGUCGGCAAUGGGCGAAAGCCUGACCGCGCGACGCCGCGUGUAGGAUUAAGUUCUAACGAGCGUAAACUACUGUGGUAAGGGAAGAAGUCCCGACUUUGUCGGGAUUGACGGUACCUUACUAGAAAGGGGCCGCUAACUGCGUGCCAGAAGCGUCGGUAAUACGUGGGCCCCGAACAUUAUCCGGUUUUACUGGGUGUAAAAAGUAGUGUAGGUGUUCUGUUAAGUUUUGUUUCAAAUUCUACGGCCUAACCGUAGACAGGGGCAAAAUACUAACAGAAUAGAGUUUUCUUUAGGGAGAUUGGAACUCAGGGAGGAGUAGUGAAAUGCGUUGAUACCCUGGGGAACACCAGUGGCGAAAGCGAAUCUCUGGAAGAUAACUGACACUGAGACACGAAAGCUAGGGGAGCGAAGCAGAUUAGAGACCUGCGUAGUCCUAGCCGUAAACGCAUGCUUGCUAGCCGCAUUUUUCAGCCGCAAGGUUGAAGGGUGUAGCGUAGGUAACCCGUUAAGCAAGCCACCUGGGGAGUACGGCCGCAAGGUUGAAACUCAAAGGAAUUGGCGGGGAGGCACACAACCAGUGGAACAUGUGGUUCAAUUCGAAACGAACCGAAGAACCUCACCAGGGUUUGACAUAACGAUGAUCGCCCGCGAAAUCGGGCUUUCCGCAAGGACAUCGCUACAGGUGCUGCAUGGCUGUCGUCAGCUCGUUCCGUGAGGAGUGCCCUUAAGUGGGACAACGAGCGCAACCCCCAUCUUGUGUUAAAUCUAUCACGAGAGACUGCCCUGACUUUUAGUCGGGGAGGAAGGAGGGGCAGACGUCAAGUCAGCAUGGUCCUUAUACCCUGGGCUACACACAUGUUACAAUGGGAAGUAACAACGGGCAUUGCCAGACGGUAACGUCGAGCAAAUCCCUUAAAUCUUCCCUCAGUGGGGAUUGAGGUCUGCAACCCGACCUCAUGAACGCGGAAUUGGUAGUAAUCGCAGGUCAGCUACACUGCGGUGAAUACGUUCUUGCCUCUUGCACACACCGCCCGUCAAGCCAACAAAGUCGGGGACACUUGAAUUUCGCAUUUAUGCGGAAGAGGGUAUCGCCGGCGAUGGGGGUUAAG